Molecule: long non-coding RNA, 2915 nt
Filed under: Sus scrofa (pig)
Lineage: Eukaryota; Metazoa; Chordata; Mammalia; Artiodactyla; Suidae
Description: lncRNA (ENSSSCG00005040111.1)
Source: RNAcentral
AGUGGGGUUGUUAGGAAGAUAAACUGAGUUAAUGUACCAGAGGUGCAGAGACCAGUGUGCCACUCUGGAUCUGCCAUCACCAGCGUCUCCUUCAUCACCCUGCUGGGAGCAGCUUCGGAGCGAAAUCAGCGCCUGUCUUAAGAUCUGUGGUUUGGCUGUGGUUCUCCGGAACUCACUUGGGAUUGGCUCGAGGCUAAAUCCUCCUGCUACAUCCCCACGGUGAGGAGCCCGACCUUGUGGGAGAGAAGGAAAUCCCAGGCAAUCCCAGCCUCAUCAUGAAAGAACUGACUUGUUCUGCUCCAGAUCCACUGGUCACAUGAAGAAUUUCUCCAAACCUCUUAAACCUAGCAGUCUACAUUUUCUGCAUUUUCCAGGUAAGAGAAUCUACAUGUUAUCAACAGUGGUUGCUGUGGUUUCCCAAGGAAUAGAAUGGCAUCUGCUCACCAGAGUUCACGUGAUGACUGAGCAGUGUACAUUCUGCAGCAUGUAGGCAUUGGAUCGGAGCGACAGGUCCCAGGAUGCUCUACGUUGGACACGCUGCGACAUCUGCCAGGUCCGUGGUCCUGCUCUUUGACACGGGACAGAAAAUCCAACUCAACCGAUCUGGAGCUGAAGAUGAGAUGGAUCCUACUCAAGACACAGGGAUAAGAGGGAUCUAUUUUCAAAGGAAACAAGACAGUCUUAGCAAAAGAAGAGAAAUGGAGGCGACUUUUUGGCAAAUACUGCAUCUUCAGCCAGGAGAAGUUGGCUGAGGACAAAAGGGCUUUUGAAGCGGUGUGGAAUUGCUGCAUUCUGUGGUAUGGAGAACCCUCCAUACUGUUCUCUACAGUAGGCUGCACCAACUCACAUUCCCACGAACAAGAUCUUAGUGCAGAGCAUACAGCACAAAGUAUGGAAUCCACUGCAUCCCUCUUCUCACACCCCUUGAAUCUGGGUUGGCCCUGAGACUUAGAUGGGCCGAUACAAUGCUGAGGAAGCAAUGGUGUGCCAGUGCUAAACCUAGGCAUCAAGUGGCUCUGAAUACUUCAGCCCCUAUGCGAGCAAGCAAGCCUAGGCUGGCCUACCGCAGAGUGGAAGAUCACAUGCAAGGGAGACAAACCAUCCUGACUGAGGCCAUCCUGGACCAGCCAGCUCCUGCCUUACUAGCCAGCUGACCACAGACAUAAGGCCACUCUCCCCAAUGUCUGGUCACAUCCACGCAGAGAGAUGCAGCUCAGAAAUGAGAGGGGACCAGCAGCUGUGUGAGUCAACCGAACUGCAGAGUCUUCCGCCUGUGCCACCAAAAGCAAUCAGGCUGUGAAACUUUCCAGAGCGUUCCAUCUACCUCACACACUGUGCAAAUCGAGGGCUUCAGGAUACAUAGGUGAAAAUCACUUCCUCAUCAAAAUAUUUGCGGGCACUUUGAAAAGAUCACCGCCUCACAUGUGGAGUUUACUUCUGUGGGUGAAGGUGCACAGAGUCAACGUUAAGCACAUGACCUUGCUCCUUUUUAAGAUUAACAAAAGAAUGUGCAAAAGGAACUUAAGAUUCUUUCCAUCUAGUAUUAGCUGCCUGGAUCUUCAAAGUACCUCCAAGGGCACGUUCCGCCAAAAAGCAGAUGGUGGAAAAGCCCUCGUGUUCUUCCUGCUCUGUUGUCCAGUGACUGAGCCGUGUGCCUGACAGGUGUCCGAAUCUGAUUUUGUGUCACUCAGUGCAACCCUGCAUUAGCUGUGGCUGCCAAAGAAAUGACCUCAACAUUUAGCACCCGAAGGCAGCAGUGAACAUUUUCGGUCUCGGGGUCUGUAGGCCAGGAGCUCAGGAGCAGCUGAGGUGAGUGGUUUUGGCUCAGGGUCUCUCAGGAGAUGGUGCUCGAGAUGUCAGCCAAGAUUGCAGUCACCUGAAGGCUUGCCAAGCGCUAGAUUUGUUUGGAGGACUAUUUAUUUACCCAGCCAUCAAGUCCAUCCUUCAUGGGCUCACCACGUGCAUCUCUGCACUGAGCUGCUUGAAUGUCCUUAUACGUGACGACUGAUCCCCACAAUGCAAGUGAUCUAAGAGAGAACAAGGGGGAAGCCAUCAUAUGACCUGGUCUCGUUGUCAGUCAGGCUCCGUCACUUCGGUAAUGUCUUGUUGGUUGCAUAGGUCAACCCUAUUCAACGUAGGAGAGGACUACUCAGGGUAGGAAUACAGGAGGAGCGAAUCAGCAGGGGCCAUCUGAGAGUGGCUGCCACAGACUCCACAGCAGAGCUCCGGACUCAGGUACUGCUCUGGGUGGAAAAAGGCGUCGUUCCCACUCAACUCAUGGGGUAGAUGUAAGUCUAUGCUGAAUCAGAGACCUCAGGAGCAAAAUCACAGGCUAUCUCACCAUUUUUCUGUUAAUGUGUGUCUGUCUCAUCCAGGGAAUAUAAAGACCUCUGUUUCUCAUUUAGUCAUUUAUUAAUCCUUUCAUGUAACAAAAAUUUACCGAGGAUCUACUACCUGUCGGGCACUGUGAUAAGUAUUCGGUAACAGCAAUAAAAAGCACAUCUAGAAUGUACCCUCCAGGAUUCCACUGCCACCUUUCACAGAAGGGUACCAGUGAAGUACCGUUUCCUCUUGGAAAGUUCUCCUAACAUUCUAGGUUUGUGGCUCUUUAUUUUGUCCUUAGGGAAAACCUGACUUGUUCGAGGGUCUUACCCCAAUUGCCAUGCUCUCUAAGGAUCAAAGAACGACCAGACCCAGGAAAAUGUUAGGCAGAUAAGAUACAUUUCCCAACCAGUGCAGGGAAGAACAUUUUGGAAAAGGUCACCUGAACAAGCACAGAUCUACAAAAGGUGCAGUAUUUACAACUGUUACCGUAGAGAUGAUACCUGGUCUCCAGUUUUCAGGAUCCAGCUCAUAACAGUACCUUGGGUAUUGAAGUGCAUGUUUUACGCUAUCGAGUUCCCUGGUGGCCUACC